UACAGAGGGUGCGAGCGUUAAUCGGAAUUACUGGGCGUAAAGCGUGCGUAGACGGUUAUUUAAGUCAGAUGUGAAAGCCCCGGGCUCAACCUGGGAAUUGCAUUUGAGACUGAAUAGCUAGGGUGCGGUAGAGGGAAGCGGAAUUUCCGGUGUAGCGGUGAAAUGCGUAGAUAUCGGAAGGAACAUCAGUGGCGAAGGCGGGUCUCUGGACAGUUCCUGACGCUGAGGCACGAAGGUCAGGGGAGCAAACGGG
This 253-nucleotide ribosomal RNA is filed under the name uncultured bacterium. Its description in RNAcentral is "partial 16S ribosomal RNA". It matches the Rfam family "Bacterial small subunit ribosomal RNA", at positions 524 to 776 of the family's 1533-position model. The record is from RNAcentral.